This 253-nucleotide ribosomal RNA is filed under the name uncultured bacterium. RNAcentral describes it as "partial 16S ribosomal RNA". It matches the Rfam family "Bacterial small subunit ribosomal RNA", at positions 524 to 776 of the family's 1533-position model. The record is from RNAcentral.
UACAGAGGUCCCAAGCGUUGUUCGGAUUCAUUGGGCGUAAAGGGUGCGUAGGUGGCGUCGUAAGUCGGGUGUGAAAUCUCGGGGCUUAACUCCGAAACUGCAUUCGAUACUGCGGUGCUUGAGGACUGGAGAGGAGACUGGAAUUCCUGGUGUAGCGGUGAAAUGCGCAGAUAUCAGGAGGAACACCGGUGGCGAAGGCGGGUCUCUGGGCCGAUACUGACGCUGAGGAGCGAAAGCGUGGGGAGCGAACAGG